CAGAAAAGCAAAACCAGAGCAAACCAAACAUAGGUUAGAGCUAAUGAGAAGUACAGGAUGUCUGGUUUCAACUUUUAAAAGAUGACCACUAAAUUAGAUUGUAACUUCAGAGAGGAAGGAAAAUUAAGACUAUCGAUGAAUUCUUUGUCUUUAGCAGUGCCAAGAAAGCAGAGAAAAAAAGAAUCCGCAGAAGAGAAGAGACCUAGAGAAGUUGCUUAGUCCUCCCCCGCGGGAGGGCUGUACCUCAAAAAUGCCAUAUUGGAGGGACGUCCAGUUCUCCUAGGUUUCCAGGGAAACUCUCUACUCGGGAGGCUGAGGCAGAAGAAUCGCUUGAACCUGGGAGGCAGAGGUUGCAGUGAGCUGAGAUCUUGCCAUUGCGCUCCAGCCUGGGUGACAAAGUCCAAGUUGUGGAUAUGUCAUUGGUUUGUUACCCUCUUUAUUCACUGGUCUUCUCUGUCUCAUACCACAAUGGCAAACCCAGAGAGAUGGACCGACCUAGUUGGCCUGGUGAUCAGGUUGCUACUAAUGAAGAUCUGCCUGCCAAACCUGCCUUCCUCGAAAUAUCCCUUCAUGUGAAAGCAUUAUGAGAAAGGGUAAAUCUAAUUGUAUACUAUAAUAGUGGCAGUAGGUGAGUUUACGUCACACACGCUAGGAAACUGCUUUAAUCUUUCGACAUCUCUCUCUUUCCAAAUCAUGCACGCAUUCAUUCCAUCAUCAAACAUUUAUUGAAAAUCUACACACCAGACACUGUUCUAGGCCCUGGGGAUAAGAAGUAAUGAAAACAACUGUCCCCUAGGAGUCUGCACUCUAGUUGAGGGAGGUGCUGGCUAGCCUCUGUUUACCCUCCAGGUCCAUCUUUGCCCUUUUCUGUGCCCCAGGAGGCUAGCCCCGCACUCUACUGUGCCUUGUCCUCUGGGAGGGUGAUGGAAGGUAGGGAGAGUGGGAGAUCCCAGCGGGAGGUUGUAGUAUGGAAGCACUGGAGAGCUAGGCAUUUUCUCCCCGCCAACUCCUUCCAGGCUGCAGUUUUGGCAGUGGUUGUGUUCCUGCCCUCUAGCCACAGAUCCUGGGGGAUCCCCCUCUCCCAUAGCCACAGAUCUUGGCAGGUUCCUCUGACACCUCUCUUACCUCCCCACCCUUCUUGACCCUUUUUACUUAAUGAGAGGCAACCCAUGGCUGCUCAAUGCUGUCGGUUCUAUGUUGACUUAACUGUUCUUACCUCUUCUGUUACCCUUUGAGAAUGUCACUUCUUUUCUGCCAGGACCUUGACUGAUACAGAAAUACAGAAAAUAAACAAACAAAUGAGUUAU
This 1307-nucleotide long non-coding RNA is filed under the name Homo sapiens (human). Its description in RNAcentral is "HSALNT0334501". The record is from RNAcentral. Lineage: Eukaryota; Metazoa; Chordata; Mammalia; Primates; Hominidae.